AGAGUUUGAUCCUGGCUCAGAACGAACGCUGGCGGCAUGCUUAACACAUGCAAGUCGAACGGAUUCCUUCGGGGAUCAGUGGCGCACGGGUGAGUAACGCGUGGGAACCUGUCGAGAAGUGGGGAACAACCACUGGAAACGGUGGCUAAUACCGCAUGUGCCCCGAGGGGCAAAGGUCCUAAAGACCGCUUUUCGAGGGGCCCGCGUCCGAUUAGCUAGUUGGUGGGGUAAUGGCUCACCAAGGCUUCGAUCGGUAGCUGGUCUGAGAGGAUGAUCAGCCACACUGGGACUGAGAUACGGCCCAGACUCCUAUGGGAGGCAGCAGUGGGGAAUAUUGGACAAUGGGCGUAAGCCUGAUCCAGCAAUGCCGCGUGAGUGAAGAAGGCCUUAGGGUUGUAAAGCUCUUUCGCCUGCGACGAUGAUGACGGUAGCAGGAGAAGAAGCCCCGGCUAAUUCCGUGCUAGUAGUCGCGGUAAUACGGAAGGGGCUAGCGUUGUUCGGAAUCACUGGGCGUAAAGCGCGCGUAGGCGGCCGGUCAAGUGCGGCGUGAAAGUCCUGGGUUUAACCUGGGGACGGCGCUGCGGACUGUUCGGCUGGAGUCCGGAAGAGGGUGGUGGAAUUCCGAGUGUAGAGGUGAAAUUCGUAGAUAUUCGGAGGAACACCGGUGGCGAAGGCGGCCACCUGGUCCGGUACUGACGCUGAAGCGCGAAAGCGUGGGGAGUAAACAGGAUUAGAUACCCUGGUAGUCCACGCCGUAAACGAUGGGUGCUAGAUGUCGGGGGGCUUGCCCUUCGGUGUCGUAGCCAAUGUGUUAAGCACCCCGCCUGGGGAGUACGGCCGCAAGGUUAAAACUCAAAGGAAUUGAUGG
Molecule: ribosomal RNA, 868 nt
Filed under: uncultured bacterium
Lineage: Bacteria
Description: bacterial SSU rRNA
Rfam family: Bacterial small subunit ribosomal RNA
Source: RNAcentral